This is a long non-coding RNA of Dendrobium catenatum, 4576 nucleotides long. RefSeq lists it as uncharacterized. The transcript has 2 exons. Lineage: Eukaryota; Viridiplantae; Streptophyta; Magnoliopsida; Asparagales; Orchidaceae. The record is from RefSeq and is a predicted model, not a curated record.
CUAAAAACCUUUUAUUUCGUUCCCUAAAUGUUAAGAGCUAAUCAUCAAUGAUCAAAAUGAGCUCCCAGACCUAAUUAGAUAAAAUAGGCGCUUGGAGUAAGAGGACGACGCGGAUCGGUAUUUACCGUAGGCGCAAAGCCGUCGCCUGCGGCCAUGCUCGUCAGGUUGGGAAGCUUUUGGAGUCUUGGAGAGUCACAUGAGGCAUUUUGGUUGAGCUUUAGGUGUAGGAUUUGCCAUUUUUGUAAGAGGAUCACAUAGGUUUCUUUCCAUAAUUGAUUGAACACGUGAAAUAACAUAAGUGAUUGAAAUUCAAAACCUUUGAGGCUUGUGAUGCUAAAAAACUUGAGCUGGUUUAUGGCUUGAUUGAAGGUGACUGGCCCAUUUGUCUUAUGUUAUGGUGACUUGGUUUUAUAUGGGCAUGAUAGGAGAGUUGCUUGUGAGCUUAACUUAGACACGUCAUUGUUUUAAGGUCUCCCAUACUCAAAUCUUUUUGUAUUAUGUAGAGUUUGGAGAGCACAUUAUUGCAAGUCCUGUAUAUUUGUAGUUCAUUAUCGACAUUUCUAAGCCACUUGUUCACAUAUUCCUUAAAAGUGUCAUGGGAGACGAUCGUGCUCAUUUGGAAAGUUCAUUUAUCACUCAGAAGUAACAUUUUUCAUUAAUUGUUUCAUUUUAUGUAUUUUCCCAUCUUUUAGAGUUUAUGAAUGAUUUUUUCUCAUUUUCAUCUUAAAGUGACUGAUAAUGUUCUAAUGGCAUUUUAAUUACAUUUGCAUUAGAGAUGUCCUCAUUCCCUUGAAAUUUUAGCAUGGGCUUGUCAGAGCCUUUGGGUUAGGGGGCGAUAGAGAAGUCAUGUUGGCCAAUGCCCAACAUAAAAAAAAAAACAUUAUGGAUGGUGCAUUAGCACUAAGGCAUUUUUGAGAGAUUUAUACCCGCCACAUAAAUAAUUAUGCUUUAAAGAUAUAUCAUCCUUUCUAAUGAGCAUUCGCUUGUUAAGAAUAACAAACAAAUGUUAAGUAUGAUGCGUCGCUACGAACAUGAGACAAGACAUGUUAAUUAUUAGAAAUAUAGGACAAUAUGACUUGGGCAAUAUUUAAUAAUUUUUAAAUAGUGCAUAAAAAUUAAAUAAGCAUAAUAUUAAGAAUAACAAACAAAUGUUAAGUCAACAUCAUAAUUAGAUGUAUUAUGAUAUACAAAGGAUAAAACUCGCACAAACUUUCGAUCUUUCACAAACUCUUCACAAAAAAUAAUGUAGAACAGGAUAAGUUAGACAAAAUAGCAUAAGAUAUUCUUACCUAUGUUGGUCGAAAUUUAACCCUUACCUAUAAUGGUUUACCAAGUUGAAAAAUAAUUAAGAAAUUAACUCGGCAUAGUAAGAAAGAAAAUUUGAAAAUUAUAAGUUUAAUUUGAAAAAGUACUAAAUGCAAUUAAUGGAAUCCCUAGGGAUCAACCAUCCAUCAACCUAACACCAACAGCCUUCCUUCCCGUAUAAAAGUGCAGGUUGUCAAAAAGUGUUUUCUACGGCAAUUGCCAUCCAAGGAGAAAAUGCUAAUAGUACAUGUCCAAGCCAAUAUGAAUUCCAUGCGGUUAUCAAAACUGAUAACCUUACGUUCCAAUUACAUGCUAGACUUUUAUCAAGGGAAAAUUCUAAGUGUGAUACAAAGAUACAUGCUAGACUUUUAUCAAGGGAAAAUUCUAAGUGUGUUACAAAGAUACGUGCUAGUUUUAAGAACUACACUUACAUGUAGAUAAAUAUGUUUUAGUGGCCAUGGUGAAUUUUAGGAUCUUUGACAUUGAGAUUCACCGUGUAAAGGCUUCAAAUAGAGAUGAAAAUGAAGAAACAUAGAUAUAGAGUAGAGGGAGAGUUGAAUUUAAAGCACUCACUCACCUUCACUUUUUAUUCACUAGGGUUUCUUAUAUGUGGUCUGUGUGCCUUUUUGUCGGUUAGGGGUUGGCAUUGAUUGAGGGGCUGAGGAAAGCCUUUGUGUUUGGCACACUAUGUCCCUUGGUUGCUAUAAUAGAGUGGGGCCCUCCAUACGGGUUUUCUCUCUUUUUUGAGAGAAAGAGAAUGGAAAGAGAGGGAUAGGCUAGGUUUUUAUGGAAAUGGUGUGAGAAUAUUGUGGUGGUGAGGAGUGUGGUGCUAGAGAGAGAAAAUCUCUUUCUCUCCCUCCAAUUUUAUAGAGAGGAGAAUGUAAUUUUUUUCACUCUAGGUACAGAGAAAAAAGGGAAUGAGGGUGAGAGAUAUUUGUGGUGGAGAGGGAGGUGUUUGAAGAAAGAAAUUAUAAAUUUUCUCUUUCUAGAGAGAAUUUUCUCUCUAGGUCUAGAGAGAAAAAGUUGAGAAAGAUGAGGCUUUCUGGUCUGGAUGGUGUAGAGGGUUGAGGAGGCUUUUUUGUGAAGAGAGGAUGGCAUUUUGAGGGGUAUGGAGAGAGAAAUUAAAAAGGUAGGGUUAGGGCUAGGGUUAGGUUUAGGUUUAGAGAAGAAAAUGAUAAGGAAGAAGAAGAAAAAGGAGAAAGAAGAAGGUGAAGAAGGAGAAGAAGACGAGGAAGAGAAAAAGUAAAAAGAGGAGGAAGAAGAAAGAAUAGAAGAGGAAGAAGAAAGAAUAGAAGAGGACGAAGAAAGAAUGGAGGAAGUUACCUAAGUGAUGGCGGUGGUGGCAGGAAUAUAAAUUUUUCAAAUAAUAGGUCUUACGACUCCUAUUAAAAGUUGACUAAUUAUUUGGGUUUUAUAAGUCUUACUGCUUUCAUUUGGAAGUAGCCUAAUGGUGGGUCUUAUAAUUUAGCCAUAUAUGUUAAAUUGCCUGAGGUUUCAUAUUUAUUAUGAGAGGAGUUUUUCUCAAGUAAUAUGUCUUACAACUUCUAUUUAGAAGAUGCCUGAAAGCGGGUCUUAUUAUUUCACUUAGAAGUGACCCAAUAGCGGUUCGUACAACUUGGUCAUAUAGAUUAUGAUGCCCAAUAAUUUAAUUGUUGGGUAUUCUAAUAUAUGUACAUCCUAAAAAUUCAAAUAAAUUAAAACUCACAUCUAACUAGCUCAGUCUACUUGUGAUCCCUGAGUUGAAGCAACCUGUGGAUGCUAAUCAUAUUCCCUAGAUACUACAAUCAAUAAUUGUUAGUGUUGGUAAACUGAAAACCUACGGUAUACUCGGGACGACAAAACUAUAGGAUCUUGAUCGGGUUUACCUCCAUUUUUCCGACAAAUGAGACUAAAAUACUUAAAAAUUAGUCAUCCUUAAUCAAGAUAUCUCUCUUAUAUAUUAAGAGGGGUAAUUAACUAUGAGUGCUUACACUCAUGGGAAGUAAGAAUCCUGAAUCUAAUUAAACCCUGACACUACCUUUAGGGAAAAUCUGAUUAACUAUAAUUUGACCCAAGGAUAAUGGAAUCCUAUGUCUGCAAAGCGAGAUUCAUGCAUUGGUGUCGUUUAUCUUGAGCCAACAGACUUCAUGUGAGAGGGAACAAGAGACGAGAGGGGUCGAGCAUGAGUUUGUUUUAGUCGGGAGGGGGGCCAGUUGGGUUAUGGGAAUAUGAUGGAUUGAGUAUUUAUGUAUUGUUUGCUAUUUGUAAUUAAUUUCAAAUAUAUAGUUUAUGUAAGUUUUUUUCUUUUAAAAUUGAUCGUGCCACGACUUUUUCGCCACGUCAUUGUUGCCAUUCAUGCACACUCAACUCAAUAACGAGCUCGUGAGUCAAGCUUAAUAAUAAGCCACGAGCUUGUUAAAUUUGAUAAGGCUCGGCUCAUGAGCCCGCAAGCCAGGUCAUCAUAAAAAAUAUUAUUUUUUAAAAUAGAUUUAAGUCUUUUUUAUCUUAAUAAAAGCAACAGUACAACAUGAAAAAAAGAAAAGAAUAAAAACUAAAAAAAAAUUGGCCCGCUGUCUUUGUUGUCCAAUGCUGUUAAUAGCAGCUAACUUUUUUUUGAAAGGUAAAAAGAAGAAUUAAUUGUCCUGUGCUUUUACCAAGAUUAAAAAGCAAAUUCUAAUCUCUCUUUUCAGUUGCAACUGUCUUCUUUGGCAGAUGCUAGUCCCGCGACCUUCUUCUCCGGUGCAAGGGAUGCCGUCUCCUGCAAUGAAGCUGUGCACAACCUCCCAAGCUGCUCGCGAGACUUCCAUUUUCACAAUGAGCCGAGUUUGAGCUUGUUGUUUGAGCUCGACUCGAGUUCGAGCUCAUGAUUUGGCCGAUGAGUUGAGCUCGAGUUAGCAAUGACUCAAACUCGACUUAACUCGUUUAAAGUCUUAACAUCAAUCCAACAUUGACUCGCACAAUAACAUCAAUACAUUGACUUGCACGAGCAAGCAAAAUUAUUAUUUUUGUCGGUUGACAACCCUGGCAAAUAUGGGUGUCGAUCAUAGCUGCUUCAUCUAUCCCGAAUACCCUAGAAUGGUUUCUUUUUCAAACGGAGGUCAUUUCAAUUAUUUAGGUUUUUGGUCAACAUGCGUCAGGCUAAUUUCCUGUGGCCUCACGCUUUUUUAGCUUUCGAAAAUCAUCGUGCGCAGUCGACACAAUUCCAAUACUAGUAUUGAGCUCAACAGGUCAUCUCAUCGAGACAUUGAUUUUAAUUAUAAAUUUAUUAAAAGUUGAUUUUGGAUUACUCAAA